This 775-nucleotide ribosomal RNA is filed under the name uncultured Neocallimastigales. RNAcentral describes it as "partial large subunit ribosomal RNA". It matches the Rfam family "Eukaryotic large subunit ribosomal RNA", at positions 20 to 645 of the family's 3401-position model. The record is from RNAcentral. Lineage: Eukaryota; Fungi; Neocallimastigomycota; Neocallimastigomycetes; Neocallimastigales.
UACUAGAGUAGCACUCGCAUAUCAAUAAGCGGAGGAAAAGAAACUAACAAGGAUUCCCCUAGUAACGGCGAGUGAAGCGGGAAGAGCUCAAAUUUGAAAUCUUAAAGGGUUUCCCUUUACGAAUUGUAGUUUAAAGAAGUGUUUUCUGUUGAGGUUUUGGUAAGAGUUCUUUGGAAUAGGACAUCAUAGAGGGUGAGAAUCCCGUAUUUGACCUUUACUUUCAACUUUGUGAUACACUUUCAAAGAGUCGGAUUGUUUGGGAAUGCAGUCCAAAAUGGGUGGUAAAUUUCAUCUAAAGCUAAAUAUUGGCGAGAGACCGAUAGCGAACAAGUACCGUGAGGGAAAGAUGAAAAGAACUUUGAAAAGAGAGUUAAACAGUACGUGAAAUUGUCAAAAGGGAAGCGUUUGACACCAGUGUUGUUUUUCUGAAAAUCAAUUAAAGAACUGUUUAUGCUAAGCUGUUUAGACUUUAUCAGCUAAUCUGUUUAGUUUUGAGCUUUUCUUUAAUGCACUUUUCAGUUAACAAGUCAACAUCAAUUUCUUUUGCUGUAAAAAAGCUUGAGGAAGGUGGCUUGAGAUUCGUCUUAAGUGUUUAUAGCCUCUUGCCUAUGCAGUCGGAGAGAUUGAGGUCUGCAGCGUAGAUCCUUCGGGGCUAAAUGCAUUUGUGCUAAGUUAUAGCAUUUUAUAGACAACUUGUUGACUAUGAUUUGUCUUGUAGCUUACUCGCUUAUGUUAUUUUACCUACGCUUAGGAUGUUGAUCUCUCACAGUCGAGC